Molecule: RNase P RNA, 451 nt
Filed under: Candidatus Coatesiibacteriota bacterium
Lineage: Bacteria; Candidatus Coatesiibacteriota
Description: Candidatus Coatesbacteria bacterium RNase P RNA component class A
Rfam family: Bacterial RNase P class A
About the family: Ribonuclease P (RNase P) is a ubiquitous endoribonuclease, found in archaea, bacteria and eukarya as well as chloroplasts and mitochondria. Its best characterised activity is the generation of mature 5'-ends of tRNAs by cleaving the 5'-leader elements of precursor-tRNAs.
Source: RNAcentral
CCGACGGACCAGACGGCCGCGGGAGUCCGCUCCCGAGGAAAGUCCGAACUCCGCAGGGCAGGACGCCGGGUAACGCCCGGGGCGCGCAAGCGUACGGAAAGUGCCACAGAGAAGGGGGCCGGAGUCGGGGCUGGGUGUUUUUAAGUGCCUGUGUCUCCGCCCGGUCCUUGAGACCGCCCAAGCCCGCCCACGGCGGGACGGCAAGGGUGAAACGGUGGGGUAAGAGCCCACCAGCGGCGCCGGCGACGGCGUCGGCUCGGUAAACCCCGUCCGGAGCAAGACCAAAUAGGAGACGACGAGCGGCCCGCUCAUUUCGUCUCGGGUAGGUCGCUGGAGCCGGUGGAGCGAUCCCCGGCGUAAGAUGGAUGGCCGUCACGCGGUCGGAGGCCCGCCCCGCGCGGACCGUUCGCACGACCGACGACAGAAUUCGGCUUAUCGGUCCGCCGACGAA